UUUCAUCCGCUAUCAUUGUCUUACUACCUUAUGGUCGUUAUGUAUUUGUUUCCAUAUUAUUUCUUCAAGAUGGCAUUUAGUAGCUAAAAGGUUAAAAGAUCAUAUGCGAUAUAUACGUCGUAGAACAAACCAGUUGUCAGACUGUUUUCACGUGAGCGUAGGCGAAGUUGUGUUUAUUUGGUUAGAAUAACGAUUAACCAUCGUAACGGAAAAGUCACAAAAAAUGCCCAAAUUGGCUAAGCCACCUAAGCAGAAAAUAUAAAAUCCCCCUAAAUUGGCUAAUUAUCAACAUGGAAAAUGAAAUAUCUAUGACGGCAAUAUGUGUAAGAAUCAUAUGGUUAUAACGAAUCGGAUAAAAUAUGCCCGAUGGGAAGAAACUUAGAAACAAUGCAGAGAGCAAGGUACUUUAAAUACAAAAAAUAGUACAUUUUAUAGUCUUAGUUGUAUUAGAAAUAUUUCAAGGUUUUAUAUGUCCAAUUUAUUUUAAAUCUGUAUAUGAACGUGCGAUAGAUGCUGAUCAUGGAAACAUUACAUUAUGGCUAUAUUAUAUUGAAAUAGAAAUGCACAAUAAGUAAAUAAAUUAUGCCAGAAAUUUAUUAGAUCGUGCAGUCACAAUUUUACCUAGAAUAAAUUAAUUUUGAUACAAAAACACAUAUAUUAUGGAAGAAAUGUUAGAAAAUAUUAUUGGUAAGAUUUGAUAUAAAAUUAGGGAUUAUUUUUUAUUAUGUAACUUGAUUUUGUAAAGAUUUAUUAUAGAAACACGUCAAGUUUUUGGGCGAUGGAUGGAAUGGGAACCUGACUAACAGAUGUGGCAAACAUAUAUUAAAUUUGAAUUACAAUAUAAAGAAAUACCAAGAGCAAGGCAUUGAAGAUGUAAUAAUUAGCAAAAGAAAAUAUCAAUAUGAGCAAGAAGUCAAGGAAAAUUUUUCUAAUUAUGAUGUUUGGUUUGACUAUCUGAGAUUAGUAAAAUCUGAAGAAAAUCAUAAUGUUGUAAGAGCGUAUGAACGAGCAAUAGCAAAUGUCCCUUUUAUUAAGGAGCGUGGAAACGAUAUAUCUACCUGUACAUAAAUUAUGCUUUGUAUGAAGAAAUUGACACGGAAGUUAUAUAUAGAUGUCAUCAAAUUUACAGAAUCUGUUUAGAUCUUAUUCUACAUAAACAUUUCACAUUUUCUAAGAUAUGGCUAUGUUAUGCAUAUUUCGAAAUACAACAAAAAAAUUUGACUAGCGAGAAAAACAUUAGUAUGGUAUUGGGUGUUUAUCCCAAAGACAAAUUGUACUGUGGUUACAAUGAUUUAGAGACACAAUCUAGAGAAUUUGACAGAUGCAGGAUUCUGUAUGAAAAAUUACUUGAAUUUUCACCUCAAAACUGCACAACGUGAAUGAAAAAAAUACUAGACAACUAUUAGAGAGAUUAUUAGAACGAAAUGUUCAUGUCAAAGUAAGUGUGAUUUCAUCUUAAUGUUCAUGUCAAAUUCGUAGAAUUUAUGAACGUGGGAAUUGUGCAUUAUUUGCAAACAGUGACAAAGAAAGGAGAAUAUUACUUUUGAAAGCAUGAAGAGAUUUCGAAAAUGAGAAAGGAGACAGAGUUAGAUUAAAAUUAUUGUCAAAAUGCCUAGAAGAAUUAAACGAAGAAGACGAAUGGUUGAAGAAGGUAGAGUAUGUAGUUUUUAUAACAUACAUUAAAUAGUUUUGGAGAAAUUUAAAUUUAAAAAAAGUAUUCUUAAUUUAUAUUAAAAAUAAUCUAUAUUAAAUUAAAGAUAUUCGGCUUCGGGAAAAAGUAUUCGACUUCGUAUUCCCAGAAGACGAAUACCAAAGAGCAAAUCUUAACUUUUUGGCAUUAGCGAAAGCGUGGAUAAAGCAAAAAAUUUCUAGUGAAACUGCUCAAAAUAAAAAUUAACAAUUAGAAUCGGACAAUUAAAAAUAAUUUAUAUCUUUUAUAUUAUUAUUAUAUUUAUAUUCUGUAAAUAGGCAAUAUAAGUAUU
This is an unclassified non-coding RNA of Vespa mandarinia (Asian giant hornet), 1982 nucleotides long. Lineage: Eukaryota; Metazoa; Arthropoda; Insecta; Hymenoptera; Vespidae. The record is from RefSeq and is a predicted model, not a curated record.